Molecule: ribosomal RNA, 503 nt
Filed under: uncultured bacterium
Lineage: Bacteria
Description: partial 16S ribosomal RNA
Rfam family: Bacterial small subunit ribosomal RNA
Source: RNAcentral
GAUGAACGCUAGCGGCAGGCCUAACACAUGCAAGUCGAGGGGUAGCAGGAUUAAGCUUGCUUAAUUGCUGACGACCGGCGCACGGGUGCGUAACGCGUAUGCAACCUACCUUAUACUGGGGUAUAGCCCGGAGAAAUUCGGAUUAAUCCCCCAUAGUACUAAUGAAUCGCAUGGUUUAUUAGUUAAAGCAUUGCGGUAUAAGAUGGGCAUGCGUCCUAUUAGCUAGAUGGUGAGGUAACGGCUCACCAUGGCCACGAUAGGUAGGGGGCCUGAGAGGGUGGUCCCCCACACUGGUACUGAGACACGGACCAGACUCCUACGGGAGGCAGCAGUGAGGAAUAUUGGUCAAUGGGCGCAAGCAUGAACCAGCCAUGCCGCGUGCAGGAAGAAUGCCCUAUGGGUUGUAAACUGCUUUUAUUUGGGAAUAAACCUCUUUACGUGUAGAGAGCUGAAGGUACCAAAUGAAUAAGCACCGGCUAACUCCGUGCCAGCAGCCGCCGUAA